Molecule: long non-coding RNA, 169 nt
Organism: Prunus mume (Japanese apricot)
Lineage: Eukaryota; Viridiplantae; Streptophyta; Magnoliopsida; Rosales; Rosaceae
Source: RefSeq, a predicted model, not a curated record
GCUGAGACAGUGUUAUCUGGAGAAGUUGGGGUGGUUAUUCUUUCUGUGCUGUUAGUACAUAUUGCUGGUUUCUUUGUGGGGUAUAUAUCAGCAGCUGUUUGCGGGUUUAGAGAAGCACAAAGACAAGCAAUAUCAAUUGAGGUUGGUAUGCAAAAUUCUUCUUUGGGUG